RNAcentral lists this long non-coding RNA (1252 nucleotides) under Xyrichtys novacula (pearly razorfish). Lineage: Eukaryota; Metazoa; Chordata; Actinopteri; Labriformes; Labridae. The record is from RNAcentral.
AUUAAAUCUUGCUGAGUCGUCUCUGUAACAUGAGCUGACAUCAUGAUAGGCUCAGUCCAAUGUUAAGGUUAGCGUGGUUGUUGUCGCCUAAUGCUGUAUUUUAAAGUGUGCAUUAAUGUUUAUUUUGUACAUGAGAUAUGGGUGUUGAUAAUUAUACACAAUUUGCUAAUCGUUAGUAACGUUAUAGGCUACACGGUUAUAUUUCAAGCUAGCAAAGUAACGUUAGCACGUGCGCAAGGACUCGAGUUAGGUGUAUAGCUAAGCUAAAGUUUAUUCUUCGUGAGUGACAGUGUCGGCUAACGAUACACGGCAAAAUGUAAAGCGAUGGGGUAGAGAGCUGGGGCUGGACCGAGUGGUUGAGCUCCCGUUUGUCUAUGGAAAACGUUAGCUGCUAAAAGUCGGAGUGGCUCCGGGUAGUAACGUUAGCCUAAAGUUAAUUUAUGUUGCUGCUAGAGGAAUACAGGUGUAGACUUUCCGGGCCGCGACACCGAUCUCUUCACUAAACCCUAGAGCUUUUUACGAGCAGGAGUAGUUUACUUUGAUUUAUCUCUAGCUGUUGGCAUUUUUUUCUUUUCUUUUUAAAUGUUUAAUCUUAAUUUUAUUUUCUCAAUCUAUCAUUAGCCGCAGCUGUUACCGGAGUCGCACACCCCUCAGCUGCUGAUGCCUGAAAUGUGUGAGUUUUUAUAACGCUAACUGCAUAUGAACGUUAGCGUCAUUGUCAUGUUAUGCAUUCAGUAGAUGAUAUUUUGCCAAACGUACAAAGAAGAAUUGCUCACGUAUUUGUGUGUAUGGACAAGUGUGGGUGUUGUUAGCAUUAAGUUAGCCAUCAUGGUAGCAGGCAGGGUUAGCUUAGUGAUAUCGUGCUGGCUGCCGUUGUCCAGGUUGGCGUGACUUGCGAGGAAUUUUAUGGGAGACAAAAAAAAAAACCCAGAACAAUUACAACGAUCAAAAUCCGGCGAGUAAUCCGAGGCAAAAUGUCCCUGUGUCUUUACUCAUUCACAGUGAACAUACUGUAAAUGAUGAUGUAUUCUUUUUCUUUUUCUUCAUAGUACAUCAUGUUGGUGAAGGUGAGAUUCAGAGAAACGCAGACGUUAUGUCAAAGUGGCUGAGACUGAAGAUGGCUAUGAUGACUUCAAUACAUUUCUUCAGAAAGGUUAACAAUACAACCAAGAAUAUUUGUGCAAACUGACUAAUUGCUGUAAUACUUGCUGUAUUUAUCUAGUAUUCAAAUAUCUUAUAUUAUGGAGUUGUG